Molecule: ribosomal RNA, 298 nt
Filed under: uncultured bacterium
Lineage: Bacteria
Description: partial 16S ribosomal RNA
Rfam family: Bacterial small subunit ribosomal RNA
Source: RNAcentral
UGUAGCCUACGGGACGCAGCGGUGGGGAAUAUUGCACAAUGGGCGAAAGCCUGAUGCAGCAACGCCGCGUGAAGGAAGAAGGCCUUCGGGUCGUAAACUUCUGUCCUUGGGGAAGAAGAACUGACGGUACCCAAGGAGGAAGCCCCGGCUAACUACGUGCCAGCAGCCGCGGUAAUACGUAGGGGGCAAGCGUUAUCCGGAAUUAUUGUGCGUAAAGAGUACGUAGGUGGCAACCUAAGCGCAGGGUUUAAGGCAAUGGCUCAACCAUGGUUCGCCCUGCGAACUGGGAUGCUUGAGU